CCUACGGGAGGCUGCAGUGGGGAAUAUUGCGCAAUGGGCGAAAGCCUGACGCAGCGACGCCGCGUGAGGGAUGAAGGUCUUCGGAUCGUAAACCUCUGUCAGCAGGGAAGAACGGUCACUGUGCUAAUCAGCAGUGAAUUGACGGUACCUGCACAGGAAGCACCGGCUAACUCCGUGCCAGCAGCCGCGGUAAUACGGAGGGUGCGAGCGUUAAUCGGAAUUACUGGGCGUAAAGCGCUCGUAGGCGGUAUGUCAAGUCAAGGGUGAAAUCCCCGGGCUCAACGUGGGAACUGCCUGUGAAACUGGCAAACUGGAGUGUGUGAGAGGAGAGUGGAAUUCCAGGUGUAGGGGUGAAAUGCGUAGAUAUCUGGAGGAACAUCAGUGGCGAAGGCGACUAUCUGGCACAUAACUGACGCUGAGGAGCGAAAGCGUGGGUAGCAAACAGGAUUAGAUACCCUUGUAGUC
Molecule: ribosomal RNA, 465 nt
Filed under: uncultured bacterium
Lineage: Bacteria
Description: partial 16S ribosomal RNA
Rfam family: Bacterial small subunit ribosomal RNA
Source: RNAcentral